Long non-coding RNA from Saimiri boliviensis boliviensis (Bolivian squirrel monkey), 2739 nucleotides. Lineage: Eukaryota; Metazoa; Chordata; Mammalia; Primates; Cebidae. The record is from Ensembl.
CAGCCGGACCCCCUCACCCACGAGGUCACUGCAGCCGGACCCCCCUCCGCCCACGCGGUCACCUCAGCCGGACCCCCUCACCCACGCGGUCGCCUCUCCCCGCAUGCAGAUCUUCACUCCUGUCUCAGUGAAGUUUCGCAGUGUUUCCCUCAAUAGGUCUGUGUCUCUUUUAUUCGAUUUUUACAGUUUAAAUGCUUUUUUCUGUGGGGCUCAGGGGCUCAGGUCAGCACUUUGGGAGGCUGAGGAGGGUGGAUCACGAGGUCGGGAGUUAGAGACCAGCUUGGUCAACCUGGUGAAGCCCCAUCUCUAGUAAAAACACAAACGUGAGCCUGGCGUGGCGGCGGCAGCUGCAGUCCCAGCUCCUCCGGGAGGCUGAGGCAGGAGAAUCGCUGGACACCCGCUGCGGAGGCUGCGGUGAGCCGAGAUCACAUCGCCGCCCUCCAGCCUGAGCAACAGGGCGAGGCUCGUCUCAAAAACAUAAACACUUUCUUCAGGAAGAUGGAAAUGCGAUUGAUCGUGAGUGCUGGGCUUGCUACGUUUUAUUGUAACUAAUAAGGUGGGUGUGAACCCUGCCGCGUUUCUGUGCUUGUGUCUUGUUUCUCACUGUGUUAUCUUCUCCCGUUUGUGACUAUGCUGCUGUGGCCGUCACCCCGCUCCUUCCACAGCCACGUCAGUUCCUCUCGGGGCCUCACCGCGCAAUCGACAGGGCCACCCUCCACAUCCGCACCGUGGCCUCCGGUCUGGGCAACGGCAAUUCGGCUUCAAUGUCGGCUUUGCUGGAGACCACAGGACCCUGCCCUCCACCAGACGCAGUGUGCAGAGGCGUGUGCCCGAAACCGAAAUGCGGCAUCACACGGCUCUUUCAUCUGGAGCCAAACUCUCGGGAAACAAACCAGACAGACGCAGGGCGGUCACGACACCCGCGUGCGGCGUCCAAAGGCUAACUCGAGGCUGCGGUCCCUGCUGAGCACGCGGUCAUUCAACCUGGGGAAGCGAUGCCGGGAGACUCUUCUAUUCAGAUGACGUGAGGGAAGCUCCCUCAUCCUCAUAAAAGCAAGAGGGCCACCUCCACACCGUCCUGCUUUUCUGGACGCCAUGACCAGGAUGGGACAGGACCCAAGAACCCACACAUGAGACCACACUAAGACCCUAAAGAGUCUGAGCUUCUCCAGAGCGGCUGCUGACUCAUGCACACCCGGCCUGGUGUGCCCACCCCACCCAGUAUGCUCCUUGCCCGGUGAGUGUCCCCUUCCGGUGAGUGGCCCCCACCCAGUGAGUGCCCCCCACCCACUGAGUGCCCCCCAGCCGGUGAGUGCUCCCCGCCAUGUGAGUGUUCCCCGUCUGGUGUGAGAGCCCACCUGGUCUUCCCCCCCGCCCACCUGGUGUGAGCGCCCAGGUCAGCUAGGCUGCAGCGUUCUCAGGAAGUCCAGGCACCCGCCCCAGCCCCUGGCGACCCUCUUCUCAGCAGGUCUGAACCUAGAGCCACACGGGGCAUCCCCAGCACUUCCUGCCCCUGGGAUUCCCAUUCCUGAUUCACCUGAGCCCAGACCACACGUGGCAGACAGGUUCCGGCCCAGACCCGACGCCUCCAUCUGCUUGGGCCACUGGCUUCCCUCAGACACUGACCCUCAGAACAGACGGUUUCCUGCAAACCUGUGCCACCCCGUUUUGUCCAGUAAAUGCUGUUAUUUGUAAGCAGCUCGAUGAUGUGGUUUUCCUGGCUUUGCCGCACGUCACCCCCGAGGCUGCGGCUCCGCUGCUGCUGCCCGCGCUCGCCCCGUGGCUCCUGCAGAGGCCUCCUCCCCACCCUCGACUCACAGUAGCCACGCGGGCUGGGCUUCUCUCCUCUGCCACCUCCUCCCAUGUCACCUUGUGAUGAUGACAGAGGGCCCAGGGGACUGCGGUCAUCAUCCCUGCUUGUGGUGCUGGGACUCAGAGCUGCAGCCUCCGCCCUAGUGCGUGGCUGUGCGUGGGAUGCGGGGUUGUGGGGGCGGGAUGCGGGAUGGGGUGGCCACGCUCCAGCCAUCAGCGGGCCUUUGACACCGUUUUGAAUCUUCCCAUGAUGCUGUGAUGAUUCUAACUAACUCCUUAGGUUCCACUCCUAGGAACAGACCUCGGAGGUCAGGAGGUGAGAGCUUCCAACCCGCUCGGCCGAAGCUUCAGAGCGCACGUGCCGUUUCUCUGCCUUUGCCUCCUGUCUUUCCAUUGAGGUAACCAGCUGUUCCCUGCUCCUGUCUGGGCUGUGGCGGGCAGCCUGUCUCCUGCAGACGACACCCCCAGAACUGCCCCAGGCUCCACACGACACCAUCCGGCAUCAGGACCUGCCAGGCACCCUCUCUCAGCAUGGCCACAGCCACCACGUGGACUAAAGGCACAGAGUCUCCCUGCCAGGUGGGAGGGCACGGCUGCAUGGGGCUGUCCGCUCUCACUGAUCCCUGGAGCUCUAACGUCCUCAGGGUCCCGGGGCCCACUUCUGCCCAGCAGCACUGGGUCACAGGAGCCCAGCUUCAGGUGCAGACAAGGACCCAAAGUCAGCCCCAGCUCCUCUGAUGCUGAACUUCGGCGGACCUCAGCGUUUCCAGGCGAGCUCCAGCCGCAGGGUCCCUGGAGGCGCUGCACAGGACCAGCUCCCUGCUGGGCCCCUCGACGCCAUCCUGAAAAGGGGUUCUUAGUCUUCCCAUUUUGCUAUGAUAAUAAAAAUUAUAUCUUUAAUAGAUAUUAUUUUACAUGUGAAACAAA